GAUGAACGCUGGCGGCGUGCCUAAUACAUGCAAGUCGAGCGAACGGACGAGAAGCUUGCUUUUCUGAUGUUAGCGGCGGACGGGUGAGUAACACGUGGAUAACCUACCUAUAAGACUGGGAUAACUUCGGGAAACCGGAGCUAAUACCGGAUAAUAUUUUGAACCGCAUGGUUCAAAAGUGAAAGACGGUCUUGCUGUCACUUAUAGAUGGAUCCGCGCUGCAUUAGCUAGUUGGUAAGGUAACGGCUUACCAAGGCAACGAUGCAUAGCCGACCUGAGAGGGUGAUCGGACACACUGGAACUGAGACACGGUCCAGAGUCCUACGGGAGGCAGCAGUAGGGAAUCUUCCGCAAUGGGCGAAAGCCUGACGGAGCAACGCCGCGUGGGUGAUGAAGGUCUUCGGAUCGUAAAACUCUGUUAUUAGGGAAGAACAUAUGUGUAAGUAACUGUGCACAUCUUGACGGUACCUAAUCAGAAAGCCACGGCUAACUACGUG
This 497-nucleotide ribosomal RNA is filed under the name uncultured bacterium. RNAcentral describes it as "partial 16S ribosomal RNA". It matches the Rfam family "Bacterial small subunit ribosomal RNA", at positions 28 to 507 of the family's 1533-position model. The record is from RNAcentral.